This is a long non-coding RNA of Phascolarctos cinereus (koala), 1236 nucleotides long. RefSeq lists it as uncharacterized. Lineage: Eukaryota; Metazoa; Chordata; Mammalia; Diprotodontia; Phascolarctidae. The record is from RefSeq and is a predicted model, not a curated record.
GCUCAGGCUCAGCUCUGGUGCUUAAGUCACUCUCUGGCUGUUAUCCAUCUGUCACCAUUUACUUCUGUCUCAUUCAAACACUCUCCUGUCUCCGCUCCUCUCCAUCUCUGAUUUACUCCCAAAGUCCUUUCAUUUCCUGCAUCUCAUCCCCCUACUAACUCCAAAACUCCCAGAGCCGCACUAAACGACCCCUUCCCCCGGGGUCACUAUCCCGCUGAUCUCUGGAAGCUGCUGCUGCUGCUGCUGCUGCUGGUGGGACACAUUACUCUUUGCCUCCCCAUUUGAAUAUGCCACAAGAAAACAUGAAUUUGCUGUUCCACUGAUUGGAACUGUUAAAUGACGCUGUCAAGGAAUUUUCAUGUCUAAAAAUACUUCCAGAAGCUGCAAAAAUAACCAGCCACAGGCCAGGGAAGUUAUGAUUGCCUUGAUGUACCUACUGCAAUCUGCUUUACGAAUCUCAGCUGUACCAAGACGCUUCCUUGUGGUAAGACAUUUCACCUUUGUCGUCCUCAGUUUCCUCAGUUGUAAAAUAGGGGCAGAAUGGCAUCAAUGUCCUCCAGGGCCCCAUCCAGGCUUCCUCAUCACCACCAUCAAUGAAUGCUGGCCAACUGUCACCAACAGGCAGACAGGCACCUGGGAAUAGUCUUGGAAAUAACCAUACCCUAUCCUCUCCAGACCACCAUUCCUAAUCCCAGCUCAGCCCUCAUAACAAUCACAUGGGGAAAUAACUCCUGCAGAGAAGAAGCCAUCAUUCCCACCAGCUCCCACCCAUGUAGCCAGCUUGGCUGAAGCAGCAGUCACCCUGGGGAAGAACAGGAGGCGGUGUGUGCCAGGUAGGGCAAAGCACACUACCAUCUUUGGCCACCUCCUCUUAGACCUUAAUGGAGACAGCCCAGGACCCUGAACUCAAGAGCCUUGGGAACAGGUAGGCAUCCAGCCCAGGGCCCCUAGCCAUCAUCUUGGCAAGCAGCCUCUGAGGAUAUGAUGCCUGGCAAUUAUAGCAGAGGCUACGGCCACAGCUACCGAAGGCCCAGAAAAGCAAGUUCUUGGCACCAAAGUCCUUGGCCUUUCAAAUGGUUCAACAUCAGAAAAUGAUAGGAUUUUAUCAGUGGAAAUGACAUUAUAGAAGAAACUUUGCCUUGACACUCUGAGGAUCAUGGGAGUUUCCAUCUGACUUGCAGCUAAAACUUUCCAUAUAUGUGUCUCCCCCCAUUAGAAUAUAAGCUCCACAAAUCA